GCCAAAGCUACAAAGAAGAAAAGGCUCAAUUCUAUUUCUCAAGGAUCUUACAAAGAACUGGAUAGGCAGGCACAGUCAAAAAAAGAUGCUCAAAAUUUGCCCACGUUCAUCAUCUCCGGAGAAAACAACUCCUGUGGCUUGAAGCCUUUAAUGGAGCCAGUUCUCCCCCACAGGCUGUCUUCACUUCCAGGGAGGGAGGGUUAUUUACUGCAUGCUUCAUCAUUGACGAUCUGCAUGGAGAGAACACAGGAAUCACAUUCACUUUGAGCCGCUGAGUGGCCUGGACGGGAGCCAUCUGUGUGCACUCUUCCUUUAUCUCGUGUGUGUGUCGGGGGUAGCCAGGAGUGCAUUUUAGAAAGAAAUACUUGGAAAAGUUAAUGAAACAGCACAAAAUGUAAUUCCCAGUUCAAUAUCGAGUUGCCAUUUGUUGUUCAUUUUAGUUUGUAUUUUGUGCGUUUUGCCAAGGACUCACAUAAGCUUUGCUUUUUUUGAAUUAGGAUUAUAAAUCACGUGGAAACUCUGGUGACAUUUAAAAAAAAUUGAACGCAGCACCUGUCUGUUUUAAACAUUAGCAAUGCUGAAAUUGGUUUUCAUAUAACUGUGAGCUAUAAUAACUUUCACCUACUUGGAAUUGGUUUGUAAUUUUGACAUGAACUGAUGAGAGCCAAAAUAUUGUUAAGCUUCCCCCUGCCUUCCAGACCCAGUUUGGAUUUGAGGGAUUCUGGAGAUUUGUGAUUUGAAAGUAAUCAUUGUAAAACACAUCAUCAUUAAUCAAAUUACUGAGACCACAGUGUACAGGGUGUUCCAUUCCCAGCUUUCGGGAAUCAUCCCAUCAAUUCUAAUCUGGCCAUUGUCACUAGGGUAGACAAAGAAUCAAUCAAAUCAACAAGUAUUUAUCCAGAGCUUAGUACGCACUUAGCACAGUUCCAGGGUACUAUUUGGAAGGAGGGUAGGAGAGGGUAGAAGAUGUGUAAGACACAUUCCUUCAUUAUCUGAACAAGCAAGGAGGAAAAUGGCAAUUGUUUCUUCAAAAUGCUGCCUGCCUUGAUCAUUAGCUUUGAAUAGCUGUAUGAUUUCAAGUUGCAAGGUUAGAA
RNAcentral lists this long non-coding RNA (1094 nucleotides) under Homo sapiens (human). Its description in RNAcentral is "HSALNT0168395". Lineage: Eukaryota; Metazoa; Chordata; Mammalia; Primates; Hominidae. The record is from RNAcentral.